UUUAUACUGGUUUAUACUGGUGUGGGGCUACUGGGGGCUUACUGGGAUGAACUGGGAUGGACUGGAAUGAACUGGUUUGGCCUUUUAAUGGCUGCAGUUCCCACAGUGACCACCGGGGGCAGCAGCACCAUUAUCCCCAAUGAACCGGGCUCAAGCGGUUUGUUACUGGUUUAUACUGGUUUGUACUGGUUUGUACUGGUUUGUACUGGUUUGCACUGGUGCAGAUGCAGUGGCUGCCCGGCUGCUCGUGCCCGCUGUGCCCCGAGUGCUUCCGGCUGCAUUUCACCGUGGGGCUGCGGGAGAGGGGCGUGGGGGCCCUGGGCUGCCCCAGCUGCGGCCGGCCCGACCUGCGCGACGACGCCCAGCGCCUCUGCUACUGGUCCACGCUGGAGCCCGCGGUACUGGCCUAUACUGGUUUAUACUGGUUUAUACUGGGAGGGCGCUGGGAGGGACCGGGAGGGGGUUGGGAGGGACUGGGAGGGGGUUUGGGGGUGCUGGGAGGGAGUUAAAGGGUUAAAAAUGGGAGAGAAAUGCGGAAAAUGGGGAUUUGGGGUUACUGGUUUGUACUGGUUUAUACUGGGNNNNNNNNNNAAAAUGGGAGAAAAAUGGGGAAAAUGGGGAUUUGGGGUUACUGGUUUAUACUGGUGUGGUACUGGUUUAUACUGGUUUAUACUGGGAGGGGACUGGGAGGGACUGGGAUGAACUGGGAUGAACUGGGAGGGGUUUGGCAGUGCUAGGAGGGGGUUAAAGGGUUAAAAACUGGAGGAAAAAAUGGGGGAAAAUGAGGAAAAUGGGAAUUUUGGGAUACUGGUUUAUACUGGUCUAUACUGGUUUGAUACUGGUUUAUACUGGGAGGGCUCUGGGAUAAACCGGGAAGGGGUUGGAACAAACUGGGAUGAACUGGGAGGGACUGGGAGUUGAUUAAAGGGUUAAAAAGGGUGAAAAAUGGGGAAAUGGGGACUUUAUACUGGUUUGUACUGGUUUAUACUGGUUUAUACUGGCUUGUACUGGUUUAUACUGGUUUAUACUGGUUUGUACUGGUUUAUACUGGGAGCAGCUCCGGCGCUGCCUUGACCCCGACACCUUCGGCCUCGUGACCCGGAAGUUGACGGAGCUGGAGCUGCUGAGGGACCCCCAGUUCCUGUGGUGCCCCCAUGUACUGGUUUAUACUGGUUUAUACUGGUUUAUACUGGUUUGGGUUGUUUUCCUUGCUGGUUUAUACUGGUUUGGUACUUGGAUGAACUGGGAUGAACUGGGAGGGGAUUUGGGGUUACUGGGAUGAACUGGGANNNNNNNNNNCUGGGAUGAACUGGGAGGGGAUUUGGGGUUACUGGGAUGAACUGGGAUGGGUUUUGACCUUACUGGUUUAUACUGGUUUAUACUGGUUUAUACUGGUUUGGGUUGUUUUCCUUGCUGGUUUAUACUGGUUUGGUACUUGGAUGAACUGGGAUGAACUGGGAGGGGAUUUGGGGUUACUGGGAUGAACUGGGAGGGGAUUUGG
RNAcentral lists this long non-coding RNA (1501 nucleotides) under Chloebia gouldiae (Gouldian finch). RNAcentral's name for it is "Erythrura gouldiae (Gouldian finch) lncRNA (ENSEGOG00005018904.1)". Lineage: Eukaryota; Metazoa; Chordata; Aves; Passeriformes; Passeridae. The record is from RNAcentral.